UUGGGUCGGCCAAAAAGUUUGUUUGGCUUUUUCAUAACAUCAUGUGGGAAAACCAAACCAACUUUUUGGCCAACCCAA
Molecule: microRNA precursor, 78 nt
Filed under: Ovis aries (sheep)
Lineage: Eukaryota; Metazoa; Chordata; Mammalia; Artiodactyla; Bovidae
Description: miRNA (ENSOARG00000024441.1)
Source: RNAcentral